CCCACUACAGGAAGAAAAAAAGGAGAAGAAAAGAACACACGAGAGGGCAUGGCACGCCUCCGCCUCCGCCUCCGCCUGGCACUUCGCUUUCCUCCCUGGACCAAAGUGAAAUCACUACAGUGUGGAAAGCAGAAGGUGGUGAUCAGCAAAAGGAGGCUUCGACGUCACAAAAGCUUCUUUCGAUUUCCUGACGACAGAUAUAUAAUAUCCAUACGCACAGUGGAUGAGACGCUGUGAUUACUCUGCAUCUUAACCGAGUGGUAUUCAUCUUCUCUUCCAUUCAUAGUGAUCCAAGAGAAGAGAAAGUAUUACGACAGUAGUGUCCCACUAUCCCUGUCUCCGAGCAAAAGCAAAUGCUUCGACCUCCUAUUCUCAUCGUUUAGCCGCGUGAUGCCGAGGUUUGGAAGAGACAGCUGCUGCUGCUGCUGCAAUAAUGCUUUCAGAAUUAUUCCUACUGCACUGUUGUCUAAUUUGACACCAUGAAACCAAUUGCUCCCCUCCUUAUUUCUCUACCACAGUAUUGUGUCUAAGAUCGUAUGGAAAAUAUGGAGAUCAUCAAUGAGAGGAGGGUUCCUCUCCAACCUACUGAGCUCUCUCGGCGUUCUCACAGUCUCGGCUGCAGAUGAUGAUGCAAGCUUUUGCUUGGGUUAAUGGUGGCUACUUUGUGGACCACAUUUCUAUUAUUCCUUCUUUUCUUACAUAUGGCAACACCCAAUCAGAAAAGCCUCGUUAUACUCAUUAUCACUUCCACACCCUCCUCAUCUCUCUUCUUCUAUCUUCUUUCUUCUCCUCUCCUCUUCUCCCUCUCUCUCUCUCUCUCUCUCUCUCUCUCUCUCUCUCUCUCUCUCACACACACACACACACACCCUUCUUUCCUUUUUCUGUUCUUCCUACAUGCAGAUCUACUGAGUACAUCAGGAGGGGUAUGUGUGCAUCAAAAGCAGCUGAAGCUGCCAGCAUGAUCUGAUGGCUGCUCCUUCUCUAUCCUCUCACAACUUCACAAGGAAUCAAUCAGAUCAUCUGGCAGUUUCAUCUGCUGAUGGGAGCACAACAAAACCCUAAACCAGUUUCCAUCGAGAUGCCAGCCCAUGAAGAAAGACACCACAAGGUUCAGCAUGUCUGAUAGUUUGUACGAUGUGGAGGAGGAAUUGAUGGAAGAGAACCCGACAAAGGAGCCAUGAGAAGCUCGGAUGGGGGAAAGAAAGGGCCAUUAGGGUUUUGGUUUUGGAAGGAACACUACCACCUUGUUCUUGGAAUGAAGCUUGACAUCAAAUCCUGAUCGGUGAGAUGAUGCCUUUGAUCUCUUCUUGGUCAUGACCUCAGUAUCAUUAGCUUCUGCCAUUCUCCUUGACUGAGAAAUAGGAUAAUAAUCCAUCGAUGGCACUGUUUGCAAUCAGACAGAUACCUAUGACAGAUAAGGACAUUGAUUCAUGCUUCAUGAUGCUGCAACUCAUUUUGUUUGUUGGAAUAAGCUUAUUACACAACCAUAAGACUGUGCAUGCUUGAAAUCACUAGAUUCGCUUCGAUUCGAAA
This is a long non-coding RNA of Musa acuminata AAA Group (dessert banana), 1533 nucleotides long. RefSeq lists it as uncharacterized. The transcript is spliced from 2 exons. The record is from RefSeq and is a predicted model, not a curated record. Lineage: Eukaryota; Viridiplantae; Streptophyta; Magnoliopsida; Zingiberales; Musaceae.